This 509-nucleotide ribosomal RNA is filed under the name uncultured bacterium. RNAcentral describes it as "bacterial SSU rRNA". It matches the Rfam family "Bacterial small subunit ribosomal RNA", at positions 57 to 548 of the family's 1533-position model. The record is from RNAcentral.
GCAAGUCGAGCGGACAGAUGGGAGCUUGCUCCCUGAUGUUAGCGGCGGACGGGUGAGUAACACGUGGGUAACCUGCCUGUAAGACUGGGAUAACUCCGGGAAACCGGGGCUAAUACCGGAUGGUUGUUUGAACCGCAUGGUUCAAACAUAAAAGGUGGCUUCGGCUACCACUUACAGAUGGACCCGCGGCGCAUUAGCUAGUUGGUGAGGUAACGGCUCACCAAGGCAACGAUGCGUAGCCGACCUGAGAGGGUGAUCGGCCACACUGGGACUGAGACACGGCCCAGACUCCUACGGGAGGCAGCAGUAGGGAAUCUUCCGCAAUGGACGAAAGUCUGACGGAGCAACGCCGCGUGAGUGAUGAAGGUUUUCGGAUCGUAAAGCUCUGUUGUUAGGGAAGAACAAGUACCGUUCGAAUAGGGCGGUACCUUGACGGUACCUAACCAGAAAGCCACGGCUAACUACGUGCCAGCAGCCGCGGUAAUACGUAGGUGGCAAGCGUUGUCCGG